GCAUCCUUAGCUCAGCUGGAUAGAGCAACAGCCUUCUAAGCUGUGGGUCGUGAGUUCGAAUCUCGCAGGAUGCGCCA
RNAcentral lists this transfer RNA (77 nucleotides) under Rickettsiales bacterium. RNAcentral describes it as "tRNA-Arg". It matches the Rfam family "tRNA". From Rfam's summary of the family: Transfer RNA (tRNA) molecules are approximately 80 nucleotides in length. Their secondary structure includes four short double-helical elements and three loops (D, anti-codon, and T loops). The record is from RNAcentral. Lineage: Bacteria; Pseudomonadati; Pseudomonadota; Alphaproteobacteria; Rickettsiales.